GAAUUAAAGAAACAUUUUCAGGAAACUAAGAGAGAAAGUAAGUUUCUCUCUGAUGAAGCUCUUAAAUUGAAGAAAAUUAAAAGGCCCUGGAAGAGACAUGUAAUGCCUUAAGAUCUGUGAAAGCAACAAAGGAAGCAAAAAUCAAACAGCUGAAGGAGAAAGCACAUAACCUGGAAGAAUUCUAUGAAGAAAAGUGGCUACAGAAGAGAAGCUGAAAAUGACAUACUGUGAACUGGUGGCAAAGAAGAAUCAGCUGACAGCUGAAGAUAAAAUUUGAACAUAGCUACGGAGAAAAUAAACAAGUACAAGUGAG
Long non-coding RNA from Hyaena hyaena (striped hyena), 313 nucleotides. RefSeq lists it as uncharacterized. The record is from RefSeq and is a predicted model, not a curated record. NCBI's taxonomy places the organism in Eukaryota, Metazoa, Chordata, Mammalia, Carnivora, Hyaenidae. The transcript has 3 exons.